GUGUCAGCAGCCGCGGUAAUACGUAGGCAGCGAGCGUUGUUCGGAAUUACUGGGCGUAAAGAGUGCGUAGGCGGUGCUUUAAGUUUGGUGUGAAAUCUCCCGGCUCAACCGGGAGGGUGCGCCGAAGACUGGAGUGCUAGAGUGUGGGAGAGGAAAGCGGAAUUCCUGGUGUAGCGGUGAAAUGCGUAGAUAUCAGGAGGAACACCUGCGGUGUAGACGGCUUUCUGGACCACGACUGACGCUGAGGCACGAAAGCGUGGGGAGCAAACAGGAUUAGAUACCCGUGUAGUCC
RNAcentral lists this ribosomal RNA (292 nucleotides) under uncultured bacterium. RNAcentral describes it as "partial 16S ribosomal RNA". It matches the Rfam family "Bacterial small subunit ribosomal RNA", at positions 505 to 796 of the family's 1533-position model. The record is from RNAcentral.